UACGGGGGGUGCGAGCGUUGUCCGGAAUCACUGGGCGUAAAGGGCGCGUAGGUGGUUUGAUAAGGGUGUGGUGAAAGUCCGGGGCUCAACCCCGGAUCUGCCGUGCCGACUGUCAAACUCGAGGGCUGUAGAGGCAGACGGAAUUCCGGGUGUAGCGGUGGAAUGCGUAGAGAUCCGGAGGAAGACCGGUGGCGAAGGCGGUCUGCUGGGCAGUUUCUGACACUGAGGCGCGAAAGCGUGGGGAGCAAACGGG
Molecule: ribosomal RNA, 253 nt
Filed under: uncultured bacterium
Lineage: Bacteria
Description: partial 16S ribosomal RNA
Rfam family: Bacterial small subunit ribosomal RNA
Source: RNAcentral